RNAcentral lists this long non-coding RNA (1479 nucleotides) under Panax ginseng (ginseng). RNAcentral describes it as "long non-coding RNA (PGIN_LNC009811)". Lineage: Eukaryota; Viridiplantae; Streptophyta; Magnoliopsida; Apiales; Araliaceae. The record is from RNAcentral.
CAUUACUUCCCAUGCCGUCCUAAUGCUAUGUUUGAUUGUGGAAGAUAAUUUAAAGGGAGGAAUUAGAUGGAUUCAAAAUCAUAAGGAGAAUUUUGUAAGGAGAUGGCAUGAUUGCAUUUUUAAAUACAAUGUAAAAUCUGCCAUUUCAUGCUGUGUACAUUAAGUUUUCGAUAAAAUGUUUCAGUGAGACUAGUAUGCUAAAAUUUGAGAAUCAACAUGCUCUGCAGUCUGAUAUGCGGAGGUACCAUGUAGGCAUGUAGUUAGCGUGUACUAUGUCAAUUAUUCGUACAAUACGUCAGUAACGAAGGAGCACUUGGUCACAGAAGUUAUGACUUGGUUUUGUCUUUUUUUUUUAAGGGCAAAACUAUUGAUUUUGACACGUUUUAUUGAAUACAUGAUUGAAUUUUUAAUUUUUUAAAUAACUUGACUGAACUAAUUAUUAUUGUUAAAUCGGGCAAUUCUAUUAAAUCUGGUUCACGGACGUUAAAUCUUUUCAACUAUUAUUUGACGUAGAUUUAAAAAAGAAAAGAAAAAAAAAAGAGAAAAUGGCACGGCCUUGUCAUACGUGGGCCCCAUCUGCAACACACUGCCCCAAAACUAGCCCAACUACCGGCUAGCACAACCCUCUGGCAGUAGAACUAGCCAACGACAGAGCAGAUAAAAUUCAAUCAAAAACACCCAAAUUGAUUCAAUCAGAAAAGCUAAAAUAAUGAAAGCUCGUGAAUCAGGAGGGAACAACCAGGAAAAAACCUCAUGAAUUCCGACCAAAGGUCAAUAAACACGGACCGGCAAAAUCCCCUGCAAACCAGCAACAACCCACAAUACAGAUGAAUUGUCAAAGGACGGUAACAAGGAAAAGAGACCCAUCAGCCUAAGUAAAAUUAAAUAAGCAGCAAUACAGAAAAACAUUGACUGAAAGCACUAAGGACUGGAUCUGAACAUGAACAAAUAUAUGCAAUAAUCAAACAUAAACCCAAAUCGGGAAGCACACGGAACAGCAGAAGCAGGGCACAAGACCCAUUCGUGAAAUCAUAAGACCACAAAUUCAUUACCAUCAGAACCGUAGGACGUAAAAAAGUCCGAACCCAGAUUCCGGAGAGCUAACCUCCAAGAUCCAAAAACCCCCAAACCAUUAAACCCCAAGCAAACACCACAUCAGAUCAUAACACCCACUACCAUCACACAUCAGAUCAUAACACCCACUAAUUCCGUAGGGCUGAUUAUUUUAUGGGUGAUUUGAGGGUUUUUGAUAUUGAGUUAGACUCAGAGGACAGAGGACAUGAGGGUUUGGAUGAUUUUGCAUUAGGUAAUGAUGAUAAGAGUUUUAGUAGUCUUCAAAUUUGUACAUGAGCGAAAGCCACGUAUGAAAAGACCAUGUCAUUUUCUCUUCUUUUUUUUUCUUUUUUAAGUCCACGUUAGAUAAUAAUCGAAAAGAUUUAACGUCCGUGAAUCAGAUUUAACAGAAUGACCCAAUUUAAC